RNAcentral lists this ribosomal RNA (515 nucleotides) under uncultured bacterium. RNAcentral describes it as "partial 16S ribosomal RNA". It matches the Rfam family "Bacterial small subunit ribosomal RNA", at positions 28 to 523 of the family's 1533-position model. The record is from RNAcentral.
GAUGAACGCUGGCGGCGUGCCUAAUACAUGCAAGUCGAGCGAAUGGAUUAAGAGCUUGCUCUUAUGAAGUUAGCGGCGGACGGGUGAGUAACACGUGGGUAACCUGCCCAUAAGACUGGGAUAACUCCGGGAAACCGGGGCUAAUACCGGAUAAUAUUUUGAACUGCAUGGUUCAAAAUUGAAAGGCGGCUUCGGGUGUCACUUAUGGAUGGACCCGCGUCGCAUUAGCGAGGUGGUGAGGUAACGGCUCACAAAGGCAACGAUGCGUAGCCGACCUGAGAGGGUGAUCGGCCACACUGGGACUGAGACACGGCCCAGACUCCUACGGGAGGCAGCAGUAGGGAAUCUUCCGCAAUGGACGAAAGUCUGACGGAGCAACGCCGCGUGAGUGAUGAAGGCUUUCGGGUCGUAAGACUCUGUUGUUAGGGAAGAACAAGUGCUAGUUGAAUAAGCUGGCACCUUGACGGUACCUAACCAGAAAGCCACGGCUAACUACGUGCCAGCAGCCGCCGUAA